GAUGAACGCUAGCUACAGGCUUAACACAUGCAAGUCGCGGGGCAGCAUGGGAGUUGCUUGCAAUCCCCGAUGGCGACCGGCGCACGGGUGAGUAACGCGUAUUCAACCUGCCCUUCACCACGGGAUAACCCGGCGAAAGUCGGACUAAUACCGUAUGUUGUCCAUUGACGGCAUCCGAUUUGGACGAAAGGCUUGGCGGUGAGGGAUGGGGAUGCGUCCGAUUAGCCAGACGGCGGGGUAACGGCCCACCGUGGCUACGAUCGGUAGGGGUUCUGAGAGGAAGGUCCCCCACACUGGAACUGAGACACGGUCCAGACUCCUACGGGAGGCAGCAGUGAGGAAUAUUGGUCAAUGGGCGUAAGCCUGAACCAGCCAAGUAGCGUGCAGGAUGACGGCCCUAUGGGUUGUAAACUGCUUUUAUGCGGGGAUAAAGUGGCCCACGUGUGGGCUUUUGCAGGUACCGCAUGAAUAAGGACCGGCUAAUUCCGUG
This 490-nucleotide ribosomal RNA is filed under the name uncultured bacterium. RNAcentral describes it as "partial 16S ribosomal RNA". It matches the Rfam family "Bacterial small subunit ribosomal RNA", at positions 28 to 507 of the family's 1533-position model. The record is from RNAcentral.